GGGCCCGCACAAGCGGUGGAGCAUGUGGUUUAAUUCGAUGAUACGCGAGGAACCUUACCAGGGCUUAAAUGUAGUAUGACCGGCUUGGAAACAGGCCUUCUCUUCGGAGCAGAUUACAAGGUGCUGCAUGGUUGUCGUCAGCUCGUGCCGUGAGGUGUUAGGUUAAGUCCUGCAACGAGCGCAACCCCUAUUCUUAGUUGCCAGCGGUUCGGCCGGGGACUCUAAGAAGACUGCCAGCGCAAGCUGAGAGGAAGGUGGGGAUGACGUCAAAUCAUCACGGCCCUUACGUCCUGGGCUACACACGUGCUACAAUGGUAGAGACAGAGGGUUGCGAAGCUGCGAGGUGGAGCGAAA
This 354-nucleotide ribosomal RNA is filed under the name uncultured bacterium. Its description in RNAcentral is "bacterial SSU rRNA". It matches the Rfam family "Bacterial small subunit ribosomal RNA", at positions 917 to 1272 of the family's 1533-position model. The record is from RNAcentral.